UCAACCAUUAGGCUGUGCAUGAUAGCACAUGCCUGUAAUGCCAGCACUUGGGAGGCCGAGGCAGGAGGAU
Molecule: microRNA precursor, 70 nt
Filed under: Cavia porcellus (domestic guinea pig)
Lineage: Eukaryota; Metazoa; Chordata; Mammalia; Rodentia; Caviidae
Description: miRNA (ENSCPOG00000025817.2)
Source: RNAcentral